RNAcentral lists this ribosomal RNA (253 nucleotides) under uncultured bacterium. RNAcentral's name for it is "partial 16S ribosomal RNA". It matches the Rfam family "Bacterial small subunit ribosomal RNA", at positions 524 to 776 of the family's 1533-position model. The record is from RNAcentral.
GACGUAGGGCGCGAGCGUUGUCCGGAUUUAUUGGGCGUAAAGGGCUCGUAGGCGGCCAACUAAGUCAGACGUGAAAUCCCCAGGCUCAACCUGGGAACUGCGCCUGAUACUGGAUGGCUUGAAUUCGGGAGAGGGAUGCAGAAUUCCAGGUGUAGCGGUGAAAUGCGUAGAUAUCUGGAGGAAUACCGGUGGCGAAGGCGGCAUCCUGGACCGACAUUGACGCUGAUGAGCGAAAGCUAGGGGAGCAAACGGG